Mustela lutreola (European mink) is the source of this 1336-nucleotide long non-coding RNA. RefSeq lists it as uncharacterized. The transcript has 3 exons. Lineage: Eukaryota; Metazoa; Chordata; Mammalia; Carnivora; Mustelidae. The record is from RefSeq and is a predicted model, not a curated record.
ACCCCUCUCCCCUUGCUAAAGGCUUGUUUAAGUAACCUGAUGUCCCCACAGCACCCCCUCUCCCCUUGCUGAAGGCUUGAUUGUCCCCAUAGCCGGAUGGCAACACAUACCAGGAUGUCUAUUGUCUGUGAUCACCCGGUCUGUCAAAAGAAAAGACAAAUGAGGAAUAGAGUGUACCUGGGACUUUCCAGAGUGCUGAGCCAAGGCCCACCAGAACAAACCGUUGUGUCCUUGCCUUAAACCCAGUGCCUGACAAUGCUUGAUUUAAAUUUACCAAUCAGAUUCCUGUAACCAAGCAUCUGCUUCUGUAAGCUUGCUUCCCGCCACCCCAACCCUGCCCUAUAUAAUCUGCUCCCCAACUUAGCCCGGCGCGCUCAGCCCACAAAGGCUGAUGCGUCCGCAGGCGCCUGUGUAACCAAUAAACCUCUUGCAAUUUGCAUCCAGUGGAGGCGUGCUGUUUGAUUCUUGGGUGCGGCUCCAGGGUCUUUCAUUUGGAGGUUCCACCGAGAUCUCUUGAAGUCCCACCCAAGACUCCAGCCGGUCCCCACCGGGAGCGCUUUGUUUCUUCUGUUUCCCCCUUACGUGUUUCUGUACCAACGUGUGUGCAGCCUGCAUGACUGGCCUCUAGAUCAUGCACCACAGCUCCUUCUCUCUUCACUGUCAAGGAGCAAGAAGAGCACCCCCUGGAACUAACACCCCCUCACUCCAGAUCUUCCCAACCAUGUCUCAGGAAAGAAUUGGAAACACGGGUUAUUUUACCAAGGCUUUGACUGGAAUGUCAUAUUUAAAAAGACUCGGAUAUGACCAGACAGUUUAAAAGAACUAAGGUUGACUUUAUGAAACCUGGAGCCAUAAAGCCCCUUGGGACUGUUGGCCUGAUACCUUGCUUACAGAGUUCCCAGCAGCCUCACCAGGUGAGUAAAGAAUGUCACUCCUUGGUAGGUGCGGUCUCAGAAGAGGAAUUCGCCCACUGAGGAAUUCGCCCAAAUCGACAGGUAUUGCAGGCAUGCCUGAUGGCCAGUACAGGGCUUGGCUUCUGGCCCGGAGAGGCUACUAAAAGUUCAACCUAGAGAUUCCUUAUUAAAAGUUCCAGCAAAGCAGAUGCUAAAAGAUCUAUUGAUUACACUCAUUGUUCUUGCUGAGCUUAUGUAAACAAUAGGCCAAGUUUGUCAAAACUAAACUUGUUUCACAAGUGAAUUAGUCCUGAUUUGGCUAUCUCUGUAAAUGAGGGUUAUUUUAGAGAGAAAAAUUCUGUUUUAAUAACACACCUUUAUGGAUGUUAAAUUCUAGAUUUGAUUGUCUUUAAAUGUUUGUUUACCUAAGCUAAACAAUUUGA